Non-coding RNA from Misgurnus anguillicaudatus (oriental weatherfish), 2298 nucleotides. The record is from RefSeq and is a predicted model, not a curated record. Lineage: Eukaryota; Metazoa; Chordata; Actinopteri; Cypriniformes; Cobitidae.
GAAAUAUAGCAAAAUUUAGUGUGAUGUAGCAAUUAAGUGAGAAUGAGUUGAUAUAGGCUGUGUCCCAAUUCAAAGGCUGCGACCUUCUAAGGACCUAUUUUAAGACCGAUUGUGUCGCAGCAGUGCGACUUGAGGCUAGUAAGGCCGUCCCAAUUCAAAGGAUGCUUAGAAUGAAGCCUCUAAUUGCGUUCUCAUUUCUCCGCGCUGUUAAGGAUAGAACGAAUGGAUCCUUAACAGUCGAGGAUAUCCCAAGAGUCAUUGCGCUUCUGCAACGGCUGCAUAUAAUGGGUGGAUAUUCUAAAAUAAACAAGCAAAACCUUGAAAAUGUGUUUAUCAGAAAAAAAAUUGUGUCACUGUUUUAGUAAGUUAUGUUUUGUGUUAAUAUUAUUCUUUUUAUGUUGCGUAUAUUGUUGCGUAUAUUUCUAAGGUUGAUUAAUUUAAUAUACUGUUAAAUAGUUUAAUCUACAUCAACCUGUCAUAUUUUCUAAAAUAAAAUAAUAUUUUUAUGAUUUCAUAUUUAUUUUAAUAAGUUAGAAACAUCUCCGCUGUGUCCUGCUGACAGGCGCGGUGGGCACGUGCAGCAGAUGACGCCAAUUAUGGGUCCCUGAAGGUUAGACUGCUCAUUUGUUAUCUUUGCGAACUUCUGAGGCUUCCACCUUGAAAGACUGAGUGCUCAUCUUUUAAGGUUGCAUGUUCAUAAGGUUGCAGCCCUUGAAUUGGGAAACAGCUAUAGUGUCACUGUUGGGUAUAUAAUCUGUAAAUUGAUCCGAAGUUCAUGUUAUGCACAGGGAUAUUUUAAAAAGCUUAAAGGCGGAGUCCACGAUGUUUGAAAAACGGUUUGGAGAAGGAGACGGGCCGACUACCAAAACACACUUAUAGCAAAUCAAAUCAAAUCAAAUGCUGGGUUGCGUAUGUGUGGGGAGGGUCUAUCAACAGAAGGUCCAGAUUCUAUUGGGGUAGGGGCGUGUUUGUUUAGGUGAUUUCAAAUAUCAACAGUGGCUUUCAAACAUCAUAGGCUCCGCCUUUAAUGUACAAUAAUAAUUUUUAAAGUUGCUUUAAUAGAAGUACAUUGCAUUAUAAUUGUGUCUUAAGAUUUUUAUAUCUAAAAAUAUUGUGUGUAUUCAACUAUUUAUAUUUAGUUUACUCAGAUAUUGUUGUUUAUCGUAGUGACACCCUAAAAUGUUUGUUUGAGUUGUUGUAAUUAAAAACAACAUCUUGCACUGAUUAACAGAUCAAUACUUUUGUUUUUUCUGAAGAUUGUUUUUUUUUUUGUAACAUUGUGUUUUAACUUCUUAAUAUCUUAUUUAACUCCUUGAUAUUUAUAUUUGUUUUCUUUUUGUAUGUGUCAUUGGAAAUUAAUGGAAUGGUGCAACAUAAGCCAUAAACAGGAUAGACGACAGCACGGUGUGCCUUGGGCAUUUCAUUGUACUUUGACGGACUGAAAAGAUGCCACGUGGAAAAGGUUUUCGGCGGUCCCAGGCAGCCAAGAGGCGAAUGGCUAAGCCAUAUUCACUCAGUCCUGCAGAUCAACUUGCUGGCGAAAAUUCCAUGGUUUCCAAUGGUUCCAAUGACUUUCCAAAAAGUUCCAAUGACUUUCCAAAAAGUUCCAAUGACUUUCCAAAAAGUUCCAAUGACUUUCCAAUAAGUUCCAAUGACUCUCCAAAAAGUUCCAAUGACCUUCCAAAAUGUUCCAAAGACCUUCCAAAAUGUUCCAAAGACAAUUCUGUUCAUGUAACUAACUUUGCUAGUUUUUCAGAUCAAGUUCUAAAAGGCUCCUUUCAUCAAGGUGAUGAACGAUUUGGGUACAACAGGAACCGACAGUGUGGAGUCAACAGUCUGACAGCAGUGAUGAUGAGCAAACUGAAGAAUGUGCUGACAUGGACCACAGAUGACCUGAAUACUGUGUUGGUUAAAGGAGACGAGAUGUAUACAUGUAUGCGCUUACAGGGGAAAAUUAAUGAUUCAACAGGUAGUGGAUAUGUUUCCAUUGCAGAAUUGCCAAAAAUGCAUACACUGUAUAGUACAAAGUUCAAAAUAAACUACAAUGAGUCAUACAGUGGUCGUAUUGGUGUUUCUAUAUAUGAUGAGGAUGUUAAGAAUAUCUGCAUGCCGGUAGAUGAAGCCAUCCAGAGGGCGUUGCUAGACUGUGAUGCUUGUUUGUUAAACAUUAAAGAUAACAUAUGUUCUGUUAUAAAAGAGGGAACCAGGUUUGCAAUAUUUGAUCCCCAUGCCAGAAAUUGCAAAGGUAUGUGUGAAUAUGGUAUUGGUACAAGCAUAGUAGCAUAUUAUGAUGAUAUA